GAGGGGAUAGCUCAGUGGUAGAGUGCAUGCUUAACAUGCACGAGGUCCUGGGUUCAAUCCCCAGUGCCCCCA
This 72-nucleotide transfer RNA is filed under the name Camelus bactrianus (Bactrian camel). It matches the Rfam family "tRNA". Rfam says of the family: Transfer RNA (tRNA) molecules are approximately 80 nucleotides in length. Their secondary structure includes four short double-helical elements and three loops (D, anti-codon, and T loops). The record is from Rfam by way of RNAcentral. Lineage: Eukaryota; Metazoa; Chordata; Mammalia; Artiodactyla; Camelidae. RNAcentral also lists the same sequence under 2 other names.